RNAcentral lists this non-coding RNA (102 nucleotides) under Triparma laevis. The record is from RNAcentral. Lineage: Eukaryota; Bolidophyceae; Parmales; Triparmaceae.
GGCUUAGUCUUUUAUAUGAUUUGAAAAAUUAUUUAAAAUGUCAGAAUUGAAAGGUAGCAGCAUAAAAUAUUUCUUUUAAAUUAGUAUUUAAGCUAAGUCUUA